RNAcentral lists this unclassified non-coding RNA (165 nucleotides) under uncultured Knufia. RNAcentral describes it as "partial internal transcribed spacer 2". The record is from RNAcentral. Lineage: Eukaryota; Fungi; Ascomycota; Eurotiomycetes; Chaetothyriales; Chaetothyriaceae.
UCCUCCCUCAAACCCCGGGUUUGGUGUUGGGCACAAGUUGGGUCGACCAACUGGCCUCAAAGACAAUGACGGCGUCCGUGGGACCCUCGGUGCAACGAGCUUCUAGGAGCACGCGUCGAGUCUAAAGGACCUUCCGGGCCGGUCUAACCUCUAAAUUUUUUCUCA